AGACAGGUUAGUUUUACCCUACUGAUGACCUCACCGCAAUGGUAAUUGAGCUUAGUACGAGAGGAACCGCUCAUUCAGAUAAUUGGUUUUUGCGGCUGUCCGACCGGGCAGUGCCGCGACGCUACCAUCUGCUGGAUAAUGGCUGAACGCCUCUAAGUCAGAAUCCAUGCCAGAACGCGGUGAUACCUCCCACACGUUGUAGACGGAUACGAAUAGGCCUCGGCCUCGAAUCUUAGCAGGCGAUUCUUCCAUCUGGCUUGAAGCGCCAGGUGGUAUU
RNAcentral lists this ribosomal RNA (277 nucleotides) under Thalassiosira antarctica. RNAcentral's name for it is "partial Eukaryotic large subunit ribosomal RNA". It matches the Rfam family "Eukaryotic large subunit ribosomal RNA", at positions 2976 to 3264 of the family's 3401-position model. Lineage: Eukaryota; Bacillariophyta; Thalassiosirophyceae; Thalassiosirales; Thalassiosiraceae. The record is from RNAcentral.